UCAGGCAACGAGCGAGACCCACGCCCACAGUUGCCAGCGUACUCUCCGGGAUGCCGGGUACACUGUGGGGACCGCCUGUGCUAAAGCGGAGGAAGGAAUGGGCAACGGUAGGUCAGUAUGCCCCGAAUCUCCCGGGCUACACGCGGGCUACAAUGGUUGGGACAAUGGGUUUCUACCCCGAAAGGUGAAGGCAAUCUCCUAAACCCAUUCUUAGUUCGGAUUGAGGGCUGCAACUCGCCCUCA
Molecule: ribosomal RNA, 243 nt
Filed under: uncultured archaeon
Lineage: Archaea
Description: partial 16S ribosomal RNA
Rfam family: Archaeal small subunit ribosomal RNA
Source: RNAcentral